GCUGAAGCCUUCCGAAAGGGAGGUGGAGGGCCGAACCCGUGUUGAUGUGCAAAUCACUGGGGUGACCUGGGCAUAGGGGUGAAAGGCCAAUCUAGGCCGGGAAUGGCUGGUUCCCCUCGAAAUCAGUCGCAGCUGGACCUCGGCGGAGGUUAGGCCAUGGGGUAGAGCUACCGAUUGGAUGCUAAGGCGGAGAAAUCCGUCGGUGUCCUGUCGAACUCCAAAUCCGUGGUCGCCGUAGAUGCCGGGAGUCGAGUGCCUGGGGUAAUCUUGGCAUUCGUAAGGGAAACCGCCCAACCUGCAGUUAAGGUCCCUAAGUGCCGACUCAGUGCGAAUACCAAAGGGAGUUCGUAGUCUCAGACAGCUGGGAUGUGGGCUUAGAAGCAGCCAUCAUUCAAAGAUAGCGUAACAGCUCACCAGCCGAGAUUAUGGGCCCCGAAAAGGGACGGGGCUUAAGUCGGUCACCGAUACUGCAGAGCACCGAAAGGUGAUCUUGUAGAGGGGCGUCGUGCGCGGGUCGAAGUCGGGCCGUGAGGUCCGGUGGACCGCGUUCGAAUAAGGAUCCUGGGAGGAGUAGCAGCACAGUGCGGUGAGAAUCCGCACCGCCGAAAGGGCCAGGGUUCCUCGGCAACGCUCGUCAGCCGAGGGUUAGUCGGUCCUAAGUGUUCCCCUAACCGAGGAACGCGAAAGGGAAGCAGGUUAAUAUUCCUGCACCAAGCGGAACCCUGUCCAACGUCCGACACAUCGCGGUAAGCGGAGUCGUCUUGCCUGGCGAUUCAACCGUUGAAACCCCCGGAGUGCCGUCAUGGCGAGAAGGGGGCGAAUGCGGGAGCACGGGCGCAAGUCCGUCCGCCCAGCCGCGGUGUCCGUGAAAACGACGUUGGAGUCAUUCCGUCUGUCCGUACCUAGAACUGACACAGGUGCCCCUGGGUGAGAAGCCCAAGGCGUGUCGGCGAAAAUCCACGCGAGGGAAUUCGGCAAAUUAGCCCCGUACCUUUGGUAUAAGGGGUGCCAGCCGCGCGAGCGGCUGGUCGCAGUGACAAGGGAGCCCCGACUGUUUAACCAAAACACAGGUGGCCGCCAGAUCGAAAGGUUGUGUACGGCCGCUGAAGCCUGCCCAGUGCUGGUAUCUGAAAGCUCGUUUCAACGGGACGAAGGACCAGUAAACGGCGGGGGUAACUAUGACCCUCUUAAGGUGAGAACGUCGCCUUAACAAAAAUCGGCCAUAUGCGGGGAACCCCGAGUAUCCGUGCGUACUGCAGCCGCAGUAACAAUCGCACGGUGCGGACAAUCCGCAGGGAAGGCCGGCCCCGGGAACGAGGUCGGAACCCUCAGAGACUUUACGCCGAUCACCGCGGAAGCGGUGAAGAUAAAGUCCGACCCCCAUGGCGACAUGGGGAGGCCGCGAGAAAUCGCGACCCGCCUAUUCCCUCGAUGUGAACACGAACGUGUACGCGCGAGGGAGAGGUCUCGAAAGCAACAGAUGUGAGCGUAAUACCUUGUCGCUUAAUUGGCGACUUGCAUGAAGGCCCAACGAGAGCUCUCCUGUCCCCGCGUGGAGGCCGGUGAAACUGACGUACUGGCGCACAGUCCAGUACCUUCCACCUGAAAGCGAAGACCCCGUGGAGCUUUACUGCAGUCUGUCGCUGCCGUAUGAGUUUGGAUGUGUAGCGUAGGCGGGACUCGUUACAAAGGGCCGACCGCUAGGUCGGCACCGAGAGGCCGAUGAAACACCGCCCUUCUGGAUUCGUACGGCUUACCCCUUCGGAGGGACAACGAUAGGUAGGCAGUUUGGGUGGGGCGCCACGCCCUCAAAAAGAUAACAAGGGCGCCCAAAGGUUGGCUUAGGAGGGUCAGAAAUCCUCCGUUAACUGUAAGGGGAAAAGCCAGCCUGACGUGGACUUGCCCAACGAGAGUCCACGAGAGGAAACUCGGGCCUAGCGAACCCAUGAGCCUGAUUUGUGCGGGCCAUGGAUGACAGAAAAGUUACCCCGGGGAUAACUGAGUCGUCUCCGGCUAGAGUUCCUAUCGACCCGGAGGCUUGCUACUUCGACGUCGGCUCUUCCUAUCCUGGUGGUGCAUGAGCUGCCAAGGGUGGGGUUGUUCGCCCAUUAAAAGGGAUCGUGAGCUGGGUUCAGACCGUCGUGAGACAGGUUUGUUGCUUUUUGGUGGAAGCGCUUUGAUGCCUGAGGGGAAGGUCCCUUAAGUACGAGAGGAACGGGGGAUCGGCGCCUCUAGUGUAUGGGUUGUCUGGCAAGGCAUUGCCCAGCAGCCACGCGCUAUACGGAUAACGGCUGAAAGCAUCUAAGCCGGAAACCGCCCUCAAGACGAGGCAUCUUACGGCCGCGGUAGUCGACCGCGUUGAUAGAGCGGGGGUGUACGCAGGAAGUUCGCAAGAGCGACCUGUUCAGCCCGCCGCCACUAACCGCCGUAGCCACACUA
Molecule: ribosomal RNA, 2439 nt
Filed under: soil metagenome
Description: bacterial LSU rRNA
Rfam family: Archaeal large subunit ribosomal RNA
Source: RNAcentral